AACGAACGCUGGCGGCAUGCCUAACACAUGCAAGUCGAACGAGACCUUCGGGUCUAGUUGCGCACGGGUGCGUAACGCGUGGUAACCUGCCCUUAGGUUCGGAAUAACUCCCCGAAAGGGGUGCUAAUACCGGAUAAUGUCUUCGGACCAAAGAUUUAUCGCCUUUGGAUGGGCCCGCGUUGGAUUAGCUAGUUGGUAGGGUAAAAGCCUACCAAGGCGACGAUCCAUAGCUGGUCUGAGAGGAUGAUCAGCCACACUGGGACUGAGACACGGCCCAGACUCCUACGGGAGGCAGCAGUGGGGAAUAUUGGACAAUGGGCGAAAGCCUGAUCCAGCAAUGCCGCGUGAGUGAUCAAGGCCUUAGGGUUGUAAAGCUCUUUUACCCGGGAUGAUAAUGACAGUAACGGGAGAAUAAGCUCCGGCUAACUCCGUG
RNAcentral lists this ribosomal RNA (433 nucleotides) under uncultured bacterium. RNAcentral describes it as "partial 16S ribosomal RNA". It matches the Rfam family "Bacterial small subunit ribosomal RNA", at positions 29 to 507 of the family's 1533-position model. The record is from RNAcentral.